RNAcentral lists this ribosomal RNA (253 nucleotides) under uncultured bacterium. Its description in RNAcentral is "partial 16S ribosomal RNA". It matches the Rfam family "Bacterial small subunit ribosomal RNA", at positions 524 to 776 of the family's 1533-position model. The record is from RNAcentral.
UACGUAGGGUGCAAGCGUUAAUCGGAAUUACUGGGCGUAAAGCGUGCGCAGGCGGUUUUGUAAGACUGUCGUGAAAUCCCCGGGCUCAACCUGGGAACUGCAUCUGUGACUGCAUCGCUGGAGUGCGGCAGAGGGGGAUGGAAUUCCGCGUGUAGCAGUGAAAUGCGUAGAUAUGCGGAGGAACACCGAUGGCGAAGGCAAUCCCCUGGGCCUGCACUGACGCUCAUGCACGAAAGCGUGGGGAGCAAACAGG